AAUUCCAGCUCCCCGAGUGGUGAGGACGAUUAUUGGGCCUAAAGCGUCCGUAGCCGGCUUGGCAAGUUUCCCGUCAAAUCCGACGACAUAAUCGCCGGACCGCGGGAAAUACUACCACGCUAGGAGGCGGGAGAGGCCGGCGGUACUUACGGGGUAGGGGUGAAAUCCAUUAAUCCCGUGAGGACCACCAGUGGCGAAGGCGACCGGCCAGAACGCGCUCGACGGUGAGGGGCGAAAGCUGGGGGAGCGAACCGGAUUAGAUACCCGGGUAGUCCCAGCUGUAAACGAUGCGGGCUAAGUGUCGGGGUGGCUAUCGAGCUACUCCGGUGCUGCAGGGAAGCCGUUAAGCCCGCCGCCUGGGGAGUACGGCCGCAAGGUUGAAACUUAAAGGAAUUGGCGGGGGAGCACCACAAGGGGUGAAGCUUGCGGUUUAAUUGGAGUCAACGCCGGGAACCUCACCGGGGGAGACAGCUGAAUGAAGGCCAGAUUGAAGGUCUUGCCAGACUAGCUGAGAGGAGGUGCAUGGCCGUCGCCAGUUCGUGCCGUGAGGUAUCCCGUUAAGUCGGGCAACGAUCGAGACCCACACCCUUAGUUGCCAGCGGAUCCUUUGGGAUGCCGGGCACUCUAAGGGGACCGCCGCCGAUAAGGCGGAGGAAGGAGUGGGCCACGGCAGGUCAGUAUGCCCCGAAUCCCUCGGGCUACACGUGAGCUGCAAUGGUGGGUACAAUGGGCUUCGACCCCGAAAGGGGAAGGUAAUCCUCAAACCCCAUCUCAGUUGGGAUCGAGGGCUGAAACCCGUCCUCGUGAACAUGGAAUCCCUAGUAAUCGCGUGUCAUCAACGCGCGGUGAAUACGUCCCUGCUCCUUGCACACACCGCCCGUCGCUCCAACCGAGUUGAGUUCAGGUGAGGCGUGGUCUCCUUGGUCACGUCGAACCUAAGUUCAGCAAGGGGGGAGAAGUCGUAACAAGGUAACC
Molecule: ribosomal RNA, 975 nt
Filed under: uncultured crenarchaeote
Lineage: Archaea; Thermoproteati; Thermoproteota
Description: bacterial SSU rRNA
Rfam family: Archaeal small subunit ribosomal RNA
Source: RNAcentral